GAAGCCACUGGACCCACAGCCCACUGAGUAGCAGCUCCUCGAUCCAUAGCCCAGGGAGCGGCAGCUGCUGGAUCCAAAGCCUAGAGACCCAGAGUAAGUUGUCUGGCAGGGACUGCAGAGCAAGGAGGUUCUGGGACGGUAGCAGGAGGUCUGGCAGGGGCUGGACUCCACAUAGGAUGUCUGGCAGCUGGUGGGCUCCCAGCAGGUCUGCUGACAGCCCCUAUAGAGAGAGGAACCCAGCUGGCACGUGCUGGGAGAGCAGAGGUCAGUGCUGUAGACCUGGUUGCUGGGGUAGGAAAAGCCACAGGAGGAGGCUGGGUAGUGCAGGUAGCCACCACAGGAGCGGGAGGAGAAGUUUCCAGAGCAGCAGUUGUAGGACAUGUUGAUGCCUUCCCUGGGCUAUGGAUCUGGAUUCUGCCACCC
Molecule: long non-coding RNA, 423 nt
Filed under: Homo sapiens (human)
Lineage: Eukaryota; Metazoa; Chordata; Mammalia; Primates; Hominidae
Description: HSALNT0272599
Source: RNAcentral